GGGGAAUAUUGCGCAAUGGGGGAAACCCUGACGCAGCAACGCCGCGUGAGUGAUGAAGGUCUUCGGAUUGUAAAGCUCUGUCUUUGGGGACGAUAAUGACGGUACCCAAGGAGGAAGCCACGGCUAACUACGUGCCAGCAGCCGCGGUAAUACGUAGGUGGCAAGCGUUGUCCGGAUUUACUGGGCGUAAAGAGUAUGUAGGCGGACAUUUAAGUCAGAUGUGAAAUCCCCGGGCUUAACCUGGGAGCUGCAUUUGAUACUGGGUGUCUAGAGUGUAGGAGAGGAAAGUGGAAUUCCUAGUGUAGCGGUGAAAUGCAUAGAGAUUAGGAGGAACACCGGUGGCGAAGGCGGCUCUCUGGACCGAUACUGACGCUGAGACGCGAAAGCGUGGGUAGCAAAC
RNAcentral lists this ribosomal RNA (400 nucleotides) under uncultured bacterium. RNAcentral's name for it is "bacterial SSU rRNA". It matches the Rfam family "Bacterial small subunit ribosomal RNA", at positions 356 to 773 of the family's 1533-position model. The record is from RNAcentral.